Molecule: ribosomal RNA, 555 nt
Filed under: uncultured archaeon
Lineage: Archaea
Description: bacterial SSU rRNA
Rfam family: Archaeal small subunit ribosomal RNA
Source: RNAcentral
ACGGGGAGCAGCAGGCGCGAAACCUUUACACUGCACGCCAGUGCGAUAAGGGGACCCCGAGUGCGAGGGCAUACAGUCCUCGCUUUUCGUGACCGUAAGAAGGUCUCAGAAUAAGUGCUGGGCAAGACCGGUGCCAGCCGCCGCGGUAAUACCGGCAGCACGAGUGAUAGCCACUGUUAUUGGGCCUAAAGCGUCCGUAGCCGGCUACACAGGUCCGUCGGGAAAUCCACCCGCUCAACGGGUGGGCGUCCGGCGGAAACCAGGUAGCUUGGGGCCGGAAGACCAGAGGGGUACGUCCGGGAUAGGAGUGAAAUCCCGUAAUCCUGGACGGACCACCGGUUGCGAAAGCGCCUCUGGAGAACGGACCCGACGGUGAGGGACGAAAGCUAGGGUCUCGAACCGGAUUAGAUACCCGGGUAGUCCUAGCUGUAAACGAUGCUCGCUAGGUGCGGCGCAGGCUACGAGCCUGCGCUGUGCCGUAGGGAAGCCGAGAAGCGAGCCGCCUGGGAAGUACGUCCGCAAGGAUGAAACUUAAAGGAAUUGGCGGGGGAGCAC